UAAGAUCCCAUCUUUCACUGUACAUAUUUACACAGCUUUAACUUCCUCUUUCAGGUAGUCGAGCUCCUUCCUGCUGUGACCUGCUUUGUUCUAACUCUGCUGAGUCAAAGUGUGACCAGCCUGAUGUUAAGGAGAAGGACUGUGCAGCAGAGAGGCUGCUUAGUUUCUUCAUUCUGCUCUCUGAAUAACCCAACAACUAAAGACAUGCUUCUUUACAUCAUUUUACUUUUCUUUCAUAUCAAAGAGUGUAAAGGAGAAGACAAAGUGAUCCAGCCAGCAGGAGAUGUGACUGCUACUGAAGGAGUUUCUGGACCAAAUCACAAACUUCAUGUCCAGGCUCAACAACACCAUCAGCUCCCUGGACAGCCUUCCAGAUGACCUCAAUGAGUUUUACACCUGCUUUGAGACCUCCACCCCACCCUCACCCCCACCACCUGUCGUCUUACCAGUCCAGGUACACAAAGUCCUGAGGAGGAUCAACCCAUGCAAAGCUGCAGGACCUAACAACAUUCCUGGGUGGGCCCCCAGAGCACGUGCUAAUGAGCUGGCUGAUGUUUUCACCUCCAUUUUCAACCUUUCCCUAAGACAAUGCACUGUUCCCACAUGCUAUAAGACCACCACCAUCGUCCCCCUCCCUACCUGAAUGACUACAGGCCAGUAGCACUCACUCCAAUCAUUAUGAAGUGCUUUGAGAAAGUGGUAAUGUCCUACACUCAGAGAAGUAUACCAGACACUAUAGACCCCUGCAAUAUGUCUACAGAGCCAACAGGUCCACCUCAGAUGCUAUCGCCACUGCCCUUCAUGUCUCCCUCUCUCAACUGGAAAAUAAGGAUUCAUACGUCAUAAUACUCUUUAUUGACUACAGCUCCACCUUCAACAUGGUCGUCCCCCACAAACUCACCCAUAAGCUGUCAUUUCUUGAACUACAUCCCACCCUCUGUAACUGGCUCUUGAACUUCCUGACUGGCAGGCCCCAGUCUGUCAAGAUUGGAAACAGGACCUCAGGCAGCAUCACCACUAACACUGGUCCCCCGCAGGGCUGUGUGCUCAGCCCUAUCCUCUACACCCUGUUCACCUACGACUGUGUCGCCUCACACCCCUGUGGACAGCAACCUCACCCUCAACAUAGACAAGACCAAAGAGAUGAUAGUGGACAUGAGGAAGGAGAGGAGAUAUUGAUAUUGAAUGGAUCUGACAGUGGGAGUCCUCAAGGUCUCGGAUAAACACCAGUUUAUCCGAGACCUUGAGGUGGGGAGGGUGAGCACCUUUAAGUACCUCGGGGUCUACAUCAGCGAUUACCUCUCCUGGAACCUGAACACCACACAGGUGUUGAAGAGGGCCCAGCAGCAGCUGUACAUUCUGAGGAGGCUGAGGAAAUUUGGCAUGUCAACCAAAAUCCUCAGUGACUUCUACAGAUGUAUCAUUAAAUCCAUCUUGACCAGUUACAUCACUGUGUGGUAUGGCAGUGCUACUGUGAAGGACCGCAAAUGCCUGCAGAGAGCGGUAAAGACUGCCACAAAAAUCACCGGGACUGCACAACCCUCUGUGCAGAGCAUCUACCAUCACAGAGUCCACAGGAGAGCUGCCUCCAUUAUCAAAGACCCCACCCACUCCCAACAUGGAUUAUUUACACUUCUACCUUCAGGCCGGAGGUAUAGAAGUGUGAAAUGCAGGACUACCAGACUAAAGAACUCUUUCUUUCCUACGGCCAUUAGAUUCCUAAACAGCUGAGCUGAUAACCCUCUCAUAGACAUUACUGUCAUUGUUUAUUUGUCUGCAUAGAGCUGCACAUGUAUGUUCAGACCUUUUU
Archocentrus centrarchus (flier cichlid) is the source of this 1810-nucleotide long non-coding RNA. RefSeq lists it as uncharacterized. NCBI's taxonomy places the organism in Eukaryota, Metazoa, Chordata, Actinopteri, Cichliformes, Cichlidae. The record is from RefSeq and is a predicted model, not a curated record. The transcript is spliced from 4 exons.